This 1009-nucleotide ribosomal RNA is filed under the name uncultured bacterium. RNAcentral's name for it is "bacterial SSU rRNA". It matches the Rfam family "Bacterial small subunit ribosomal RNA", at positions 1 to 992 of the family's 1533-position model. The record is from RNAcentral.
CCGAAUUCGUCCACACAGAGUUUGAUCCUGGCUCAGGACGAACGCUGGCGGCGUGCUUAACACAUGCAAGUCGAACGGUGAACUCCGCUUGCGGGGGGAUCAGUGGCGAACGGGCGAGUAACACGUGGGCAACCUGCCCUCAGCUCUGGGAUAACUCCAAGAAAUUGGGGCUAAUACCGGAUAUUUCCGCCGACCGCAUGGUCUGGUGGUGGAAAGAUUUAUCGGCUGGGGAUGGGCCCGCGGCCUAUCAGCUUGUUGGUGGGGUAGUGGCCUACCAAGGCGACGACGGGUAGCCGGCCUGAGAGGGUGACCGGCCACACUGGGACUGAGACACGGCCCAGACUCCUACGGGAGGCAGCAGUGGGGAAUAUUGCGCAAUGGGCGAAAGCCUGACGCAGCGACGCCGCGUGGGGGAUGACGGCCUUCGGGUUGUAAACCUCUUUCAGCAGGGACGAAGCGAAAGUGACGGUACCUGCAGAAGAAGCACCGGCCAACUACGUGCCAGCAACCGCGGUAAUACGUAAGGUGCAAGCGUUGUCCGGAAUUAUUGGGCGUAAAGAGCUCGUAAGCGGUUCGUCACGUCCGCUGUGAAAUCCCGAGGUUCAACCUCGGGUCUGCAGUCGAUACGGGCGGACUUGAGUACUGCAGGGGAGACUGGAAUUCCUGGUGUAGCGGUGAAAUGCGCAGAUAUCAGGAGGAACACCGGUGGCGAAGGCGGGUCUCUGGGCAGUAACUGACGCUGAGGAGCGAAAGCGUGGGGAGCGAACAGGAUUAGAUACCCUGGUAGUCAACGCCCUAAACGGUGGGGCGGUUAGGGGUGGGGCUCAUUCCCACGAGUUCCCGGGCCCCAACUAACACAUUUAGCCCCCCCGCCGGGGGAGUACGGGCCGGCAAGGGUUAAAACCCCAAGAAAUUGACCGGGGGCCCGGCCACAGGCGGGGGGAAACUGGUUGCUUAUAUUUCGAUGGGACCGGGGAAAAAAACUUUACCCUAGGCUUUGACAUGGCCC